AUUGAACGCUGGCGGCAUGAUUUACACAUGCAAGUCGAACGGUAACAGGCCGCAAGGUGCUGACGAGUGGCGAACGGGUGAGUAAUGCAUCGGAACGUGCCCAGUCAUGGGGGAUAACUACUCGAAAGAGUAGCUAAUACCGCAUACGAUCUAUGGAUGAAAGCGGGGGACAGUAAGGCCUCGCGCGAUUGGAGCGGCCGAUGUCAGAUUAGGUAGUUGGUGGGGUAAAGGCUCACCAAGCCAACGAUCUGUAGCUGGUCUGAGAGGACGACCAGCCACACUGGGACUGAGACACGGCCCAGACUCCUACGGGAGGCAGCAGUGGGGAAUUUUGGACAAUGGGCGCAAGCCUGAUCCAGCAAUGCCGCGUGCAGGAAGAAGGCCUUCGGGUUGUAAACUGCUUUUGUACGGAACGAAACGGCUCUGGUUAAUACCCGGGGCUAAUGACGGUACCGUAAGAAUAAGCACCGGCUAACUACGUG
RNAcentral lists this ribosomal RNA (482 nucleotides) under uncultured bacterium. RNAcentral's name for it is "partial 16S ribosomal RNA". It matches the Rfam family "Bacterial small subunit ribosomal RNA", at positions 30 to 507 of the family's 1533-position model. The record is from RNAcentral.